This 1017-nucleotide ribosomal RNA is filed under the name uncultured organism. Its description in RNAcentral is "bacterial SSU rRNA". It matches the Rfam family "Bacterial small subunit ribosomal RNA", at positions 356 to 1376 of the family's 1533-position model. The record is from RNAcentral.
GAGGAAUAUUGGUCAAUGGACGAGAGUCUGAACCAGCCAAGUAGCGUGAAGGAUGACUGCCCUAUGGGUUGUAAACUUCUUUUAUACGGGAAUAAAGUGAGGCACGUGUGCCUUUUUGUAUGUACCGUAUGAAUAAGGAUCGGCUAACUCCGUGCCAGCAGCCGCGGUAAUACGGAGGAUCCGAGCGUUAUCCGGAUUUAUUGGGUUUAAAGGGAGCGUAGGCGGACGCUUAAGUCAGUUGUGAAAGUUUGCGGCUCAACCGUAAAAUUGCAGUUGAUACUGGGUGUCUUGAGUACAGUAGAGGCAGGCGGAAUUCGUGGUGUAGCGGUGAAAUGCUUAGAUAUCACGAAGAACUCCGAUUGCGAAGGCAGCUUGCUGGACUGUAACUGACGCUGAUGCUCGAAAGUGUGGGUAUCAAACAGGAUUAGAUACCCUGGUAGUCCACACAGUAAACGAUGAAUACUCGCUGUUUGCGAUAUACAGUAAGCGGCCAAGCGAAAGCGUUAAGUAUUCCACCUGGGGAGUACGCCGGCAACGGUGAAACUCAAAGGAAUUGACGGGGGCCCGCACAAGCGGAGGAACAUGUGGUUUAAUUCGAUGAUACGCGAGGAACCUUACCCGGGCUUGAAUUGCAACUGAAUGAUGUGGAGACAUGUCAGCCGCAAGGCAGUUGUGAAGGUGCUGCAUGGUUGUCGUCAGCUCGUGCCGUGAGGUGUCGGCUUAAGUGCCAUAACGAGCGCAACCCUUAUCGAUAGUUACUAUCAGGUUAUGCUGGGGACUCUGUCGAGACUGCCGUCGUAAGAUGUGAGGAAGGUGGGGAUGACGUCAAAUCAGCACGGCCCUUACGUCCGGGGCUACACACGUGUUACAAUGGGGGGUACAGAAGGCAGCUACACGGCGACGUGAUGCUAAUCCCGAAAGCCUCUCUCAGUUCGGAUUGGAGUCUGCAACCCGACUCCAUGAAGCUGGAUUCGCUAGUAAUCGCGCAUCAGCCACGGCGCGGUGAAUACGUUCCCG